UAAAUUUCAGGUGACGUGUAUAGGCUGGCUGCACGGGAGUGAACAUUACUUUGUAGAGGUAAAAUGUGCUCUUGGCCAAACCAUUAUUGUCAAGCUGUGGAUUAGCCAAAAAAAGAAAAGAAAAAAAGAUGAUCACCAUAACCAAGGUUGAUCACAAGAGCCAUAUACAUGCUGCUCGUUCCAAUUCCAAAAUGUAAGUCAUUCUAACUUUAAAACAUCUUAAGUUUAACUAAAUUUAUAUAAUAAAAUAUAAAAGUAUUUAUGAUAUCAAAUAAGUAUCAUUAGAUUUUUCAUUAGUUAUAUUUGUAUAUGCUAUAUGUAUCCUUUUUUAUGUCAUAAAUCUUUGUAAUUCUCUCUAUAUUUUUGAGAGAAAAAACACCAGUCCCAAUUGAAACUUGGAUUGAGUAGCUUGAGUGGGGGUAGUCAGUUAUUUUCAGCCAGAAUUUGACUAUAUUUCGAGAGAGAAAAAAACGCCAGUCCCAAUUGAAACUUGGAUUGAGUAGCUUGAGUGGGAUGCUCAAUUAUUUUCAGCCAGAAUUUGACUGUAAGGGGUUCCAAAGACGUCCUUAGAAUAAAAGGUUCCGAGGUUCAGUUGUGAUGUUGCUCUUGCUGCCAUCUUCAUCACACUGUGUUUGGUUCUGAAGGCUCAACUGGUCAACAUGGUACACAUGCACUGCAGUGCUACCCAAACAAGUUAAAAUCAAUGAUUAUUAUGCACUUGGAUUGGAUCAUCACUUACAUACAUAAACGGACACAAGCAAGUUGUAUAUAGGACUUACAGAUAAUCGAGUCACAAAUUAAACGAACAUUCAGAUGACUUUUACAUACAUAUACAUAUGACAGAACAUGCGUACGUGAGCCAGGACGUACCAUAUUGUAGUUCGCCGGGGAUGGGGACGAGCUCGGCCAUGAAGGAGGCGGGGCUUGACCAAGGAGGAGGUGGACACAGCUCAGCCAUGGAGGAGGCGGGGCUUGGUCUGAGCAGAGAAAGAGAUGAGGAAGAAGAGAGAGAGAGAGAGAGACAGGGGCAACAAGGAUAUUUCGUGCUUGUUUUCUCUCCUCCUUAUCUAGAAA
RNAcentral lists this long non-coding RNA (1074 nucleotides) under Sorghum bicolor (sorghum). RNAcentral describes it as "long non-coding RNA (SBIC_LNC002030)". Lineage: Eukaryota; Viridiplantae; Streptophyta; Magnoliopsida; Poales; Poaceae. The record is from RNAcentral.